Molecule: ribosomal RNA, 495 nt
Filed under: uncultured bacterium
Lineage: Bacteria
Description: partial 16S ribosomal RNA
Rfam family: Bacterial small subunit ribosomal RNA
Source: RNAcentral
GACGAACGCUGGCGGCGUGCCUAAUACAUGCAAGUAGAACGCUGAAGGAGGAGCUUGCUUCUCUGGAUGAGUUGCGAGCGGGUGAGUAACGCGUAGGUAACCUGCCUGGUAGCGGGGGAUAACUAUUGGAAACGAUAGCUAAUACCGCAUAAGAGUAGAUGUUGCAUGACAUUUGCUUAAAAGGUGCAAUUGCAUCACUACCAGAUGGACCUGCGUUGUAUUAGCUAGUUGGUGGGGUAACGGCUUACCAAGGCGACGAUACAUAGCCGACCUGAGAGGGUGAUCGGCCACACUGGGACUGAGACACGGCCCAGACUCCUACGGGAGGCAGCAGUAGGGAAUCUUCGGCAAUGGACGGAAGUCUGACCGAGCAACGCCGCGUGAGUGAAGAAGGUUUUCGGAUCGUAAAGCUCUGUUGUAAGAGAAGAACGAGUGUGAGAGUGGAAAGUUCACACUGUGACGGUAUCUUACCAGAAAGGGACGGCUAACUACGUG